GGAAGGAUCAUUACCGAGAUAUGCCCUUCGGGGUAGACCUCCCACCCUGUGUAUACCUUACCUCUGUUGCUUUGGCGGGCCGCCUAGCUACCGGCUUCGGCUGGUAAGUGCCCGCCAGAGGACCCAAAACCCUGAAUAUUAGUGUCGUCUGAGUAAAAUUUUAAUAUUUAAAACUUUCAACAACGGAUCUCUUGGCUCUGGCAUCGAUGAAGAACGCAGCGAAAUGCGAUAAGUAAUGUGAAUUGCAGAAUUCAGUGAAUCAUCGAAUCUUUGAACGCACAUUGCGCCCCUUGGUAUUCCGAGGGGCAUGCCUAUUCGAGCGUCAUUAUCACCCCUCAAGCUCAGCUUGGUGUUGGGGCCUGCCAUCACGGCAGCCCCUAAAAUCAGUGGCGGUGCCCUCAGGCUCUAAGCGCAGUAAUUUCUCUCGCUACAGACCCCUGGAGGCGCCCGCCAGCAACCCCCCAUUUUUUUAAUGAUUGACCUCGGAUUAGGUAGGGAUACCCGCUGAACUUAAGCAUAUCAAUAAGCGGAGGAAAAGAAACCAACAGGGAUUGCCUCAGUAACGGCGAGUGAAGCGGCAAAAGCUCAAAUUUGAAAUCUGGCUCUUUCAGGGUCCGAGUUGUAAUUUGUAGAAGAUGUUUCGGGUGUGGCUCCGGUUUAAGUUCUUUGGAAUAUUACAUCAUAGAGGGUGAGAAUCCCGUAUGUGACCGGCAGCCUUCGUCCAUGUGAAACUCUUUCGACGAGUCGAGUUGUUUGGGAAUGCAGCUCAAAAUGGGAGGUAUAUUUCUUCUAAAGCUAAAUAUUGGCCAGAGACCGAUAGCGCACAAGUAGAGUGAUCGAAAGAUGAAAAGCACUUUGGAAAGAGAGUUAAACAGUACGUGAAAUUGUUGAAAGGGAAGCGCUUGCAACCAGACUUGCACGCAGUUGAUCAUCCGGUGUUCUCACCGGGGCACUCUGCUGCGUUCAGGCCAGCAUCGGUUUUGGUGGUUGGAUAAAGGCCUUGGGAAUGUGGCUUCCUUCGGGGAGUGUUAUAGCCCUCGGUGCAAUGCAGCCUACCGGGACCGAGGACCGCGCUUCGGCUAGGAUGCUGGCGUAAUGGUUGUAAGCGACCCGUCUUGAAACACGGACCAAGGAGUCUAACAUCUAUGCGAGUGUUUGGGUGUCAAACCCAUACGCGUAAUGAAAGUGAACGGAGGUGAGAACCCUUAAGGGUGCAUCAUCGACCGGUCCUGAUGUCUUCGGAUGGAUCUGAGUAAGAGCAUAGCUGUUGGGACCCGAAAGAUGGUGAACUAUGCGUGAAUAGGGUGAAGCCAGAGGAAACUCUGGUGGAGGCUCGCAGCGGUUCUGACGUGCAAAUCGAUCGUCAAAUUUGCGCAUAGGGGCGAAAGACUUAUCGAACCAUCUAGUAGCUGGUUCCUGC
This 1420-nucleotide unclassified non-coding RNA is filed under the name uncultured fungus. RNAcentral's name for it is "sequence contains 18S rRNA gene, ITS1, 5.8S rRNA gene, ITS2, 28S rRNA gene". The stretch from base 478 to 1420 matches the Rfam family "Eukaryotic large subunit ribosomal RNA", at positions 1 to 961 of the family's 3401-position model. The record is from RNAcentral. Lineage: Eukaryota; Fungi.